AUUGAACGCUGGCGGCAGGCCUAACACAUGCAAGUCGAGCGGUAGCACAGAGAGCUUGCUCUCGGGUGACGAGCGGCGGACGGGUGAGUAAUGUCUGGGAAACUGCCUGAUGGAGGGGGAUAACUACUGGAAACGGUAGCUAAUACCGCAUAACGUCGCAAGACCAAAGUGGGGGACCUUCGGGCCUCAUGCCAUCAGAUGUGCCCAGAUGGGAUUAGCUAGUAGGUGGGGUAAUGGCUCACCUAGGCGACGAUCCCUAGCUGGUCUGAGAGGAUGACCAGCCACACUGGAACUGAGACACGGUCCAGACUCCUACGGGAGGCAGCAGUGGGGAAUAUUGCACAAUGGGCGCAAGCCUGAUGCAGCCAUGCCGCGUGUAUGAAGAAGGCCUUCGGGUUGUAAAGUACUUUCAGCGAGGAGGAAGGCGUUAAGGUUAAUAACCUUGGCGAUUGACGUUACUCGCAGAAGAAGCAAUGACGGUAUCUGGGGAAUAAGCAUCGGCUAACUCUGUGCCAGCAGCCGCCGCGUAAUAC
Molecule: ribosomal RNA, 533 nt
Filed under: uncultured bacterium
Lineage: Bacteria
Description: bacterial SSU rRNA
Rfam family: Bacterial small subunit ribosomal RNA
Source: RNAcentral